Long non-coding RNA from Mus pahari (shrew mouse), 354 nucleotides. RefSeq lists it as uncharacterized. Lineage: Eukaryota; Metazoa; Chordata; Mammalia; Rodentia; Muridae. The transcript has 3 exons. The record is from RefSeq and is a predicted model, not a curated record.
UCCAGCUUCCCUCAAGCCUGACCUCCUUCACAAUCGAGGCCUCCAGCCCAGCUCCGCAGCUUCCUGCAGGAUGUACAGGCAUCCGCUCCUUCCAGGUUGGCACUCGGUGGCCGAGACUUUGGGCUGGGCCUGAGGACCACAGAGGACCAGAAUUUGAUUCUCAGCUCCCCCUCUUCACAAUUGCCUAUAUCUCCAGCUCCAGGGGAACUGGUACCUCCUUCUGAUCACUGUGCUACCUUCUGCCUGCUUCACAUCAAAUGCAUCUAUAUUUCUGGGUGCCUCACGGAGAACACCACUGCUCCCCAGUGUCCAUCCUCACUUUGGAACUCUCCACUGAACCUCUGGGUUGUGCCU